This is a long non-coding RNA of Puntigrus tetrazona (Sumatra barb), 1834 nucleotides long. RefSeq lists it as uncharacterized. The transcript is spliced from 3 exons. The record is from RefSeq and is a predicted model, not a curated record. Lineage: Eukaryota; Metazoa; Chordata; Actinopteri; Cypriniformes; Cyprinidae.
CUUGCAUUAUCAUGUGGCUUUUUAGUUUUUACUGUAUAUUUUUGAGCAAAUAAAUGCACUCUUGGUGAGAAAAAAAAAAGCCCACUGUUUUUAACAGUAGUGUACAUUACCAUAUUUUCAUAUUAUACACAGUAGAUGUGCAUAUAACGCAGCCAUGUGCAUUUAUAUGAAUAUUUUUUUAAUACCCAUAAAUUGUAAUAACUGUCAUAUUCGAAAGCCCUAAACUGAAUGGUUAUCGCAAUGUUUGUAAAUCUUUAAAUGAUUCAUGAUAUACAAUUUCAGAUUUGCAUAUUUGUUUCUCACCGUUUGUUUAUAACUGCACAUUUUGCACCAAAAACCCCAAUAUUUGGAAACAAAAAAAGAAAUAAUAAUUUCUAUCCUCAUUGUCACUGUGGAAAAACUUAUUGCAGUGAUGGAAAUAAACUCCCACUGCUGUGACUGGUGUCGGAGUAAAAACAACGCAAAAGACAGGAAUAACCCAAGCAUGCAUUUACCCAACAGGUGUUUAAACUUAGAAAUGUAGGUAUACUAUAGCACUGAAAACCGUUACGGAGUGAGGAAGGGUCUGAGGCAUUGAGGGGAACUCUGUGUAAAAGGGCUGUAAAGGAGCUUUUUCCUGCUCCUGCAAGGUUGGAAGAGAGGACCUAAAGGGACCGAGUGAAGACAGGACUUGUCUGGGAUUGGCAGAGGAAGGAGACUCUAUGACGAAGAGACUUCUCACAAAUAUUAACCGAGUUAGUAAUUGAGUUACAUUAUUAUAAAGUAGCUAAUUACUAGGGAAAGUAACAAAUAACUUGGAUGUCCCCAAUAUUAAAUGUUAAAUAUUAAUGUUAAAUGUUAAAUUAUAAAACAUUGAACACUAGCCUACGCUGUUUUUAUGUUUGUUUGGGACAGUGUGAGAGACACAGAUGAAAUCAAAUCUUAUUAUAAGUAUUCUCAACUAUGGAUACCUUGGCAUUAAAAUCGCCAUAGUAAUUUUUUAUAUUAUUAGUAUUUUGUUUAUAAUUUAGCAUUAGAAGAUGACAGAACUAUAGUAAUUAGAAUGCCCCUUUCUAUAAAAAGGAAAAUAAUAGCAAUAAAACUACUAUGAAUUCUUCUACUAAUAAUAAUAUAAAACGAACCUAGGAUUAAUGAGCUGCUUGGUUCUUGAAUAUUUUCUGCGUUCGCUCAGAACGAUUUGCUAACAUCAAAACGGAUGAAAAAAGCACCAGCCAAUGAGAUUUGUUGUUUGCGCGUUAGUUCCACCCACUACCAGAGAAACCAGCAUGUUGUAAAAAGCUGAAGAAUUCCCAAGGAACUGUUAUUUUUACAGGAAAAUGUUUGCAUUAACCAUGACUAUUUUAACCAUGUUCUUGCUACUUUCCCUGGCCUUGAACGUGGUAGUUCUGCUGUUUAUGCAAGGUCUGAAACCUCUGAUUUCAUCAAAAGUAUCUUCAUUUGUCUUCCAAGGAUGAACAUAAGCUUUAUCGGUUUGGAACAACCUGAGGGUUUUUCAGGAGUCUGCAGCCCCUGGCUCACCGUCGUCUUCAUCCGGCUCCUGUUCGUCAGACGGCAGCUGCACACGCUGUUCAUCCAUUCGCUUGGCCUGAACUCUCUGGAUUAGGCUAAAGAAAUCCUCGUCUGGGACGGUUGGCGCCCGCGGACCCCCUUCAGGAGGAGAGCAGCGCUGGUCAUCUAUCCUGGACGACUGAACAAGAACCGUGAGAUCUUUUGAGCUUCAGAGAGACUGUGUGACUGACCGAUCAUGUCAUUGAUUGUGUUUGGAUCCGCUCCUCCGGCAUUCUCUCCAUUGGGCGGCUCGUCCAGCUGACAGCGCUGGUCAUCCAUACGACUG